This is a non-coding RNA of Danio rerio (zebrafish), 73 nucleotides long. Lineage: Eukaryota; Metazoa; Chordata; Actinopteri; Cypriniformes; Danionidae. The record is from Rfam.
CUCUCUGUGCCGCAAUCGGUUAGUGCGUUCGGCUGUUACUGAAAGGUUGGUGGUUCAAGCCCACCCAGGGACG